This 475-nucleotide ribosomal RNA is filed under the name uncultured Thiocapsa sp. RNAcentral describes it as "bacterial SSU rRNA". It matches the Rfam family "Bacterial small subunit ribosomal RNA", at positions 910 to 1382 of the family's 1533-position model. Lineage: Bacteria; Pseudomonadati; Pseudomonadota; Gammaproteobacteria; Chromatiales; Chromatiaceae. The record is from RNAcentral.
GUUGACGGGGCCCGGCACAAGCGGUGGAGCAUGUGGUUUAAUUCGAUGCAACGCGAAGAACCUUACCAGCCCUUGACAUCCUCGGAAUCCUGCAGAGAUGCGGGAGUGCCUUCGGGAGCCGAGAGACAGGUGCUGCAUGGCUGUCGUCAGCUCGUGUCGUGGGAUGUUGGGUUAAGUCCCGUAACGAGCGCAACCCUUGCCCUUAGUUGCCAGCGCGUCAAGGCGGGAACUCUAAGGGGACUGCCGGUGAUAAACCGGAGGAAGGUGGGGGAUGACGUCAAGUCAUCAUGGCCCUUAUGGGCUGGGCUACACACGUGCUACAAUGGCCGGUACAGAGGGUUGCCAACCCGCGAGGGGGAGCCAAUCUCAGAAAACCGGUCGUAGUCCGGAUCGCAGUCUGCAACUCGACUGCGUGAAGUCGGAACCGCUAGUAAUCGCGAAUCAGCAUGUCGCGGUGAAUACGUUCCCGGGCCUU